Molecule: non-coding RNA, 28 nt
Filed under: Rattus norvegicus (Norway rat)
Lineage: Eukaryota; Metazoa; Chordata; Mammalia; Rodentia; Muridae
Source: RNAcentral
UCGGAUUAUAGCUGUGGCCAUUUUUUGA